UACGUAGGGUGCGAGCGUUGUCCGGAAUUACUGGGCGUAAAGAGCUCGUAGGUGGUUUGUCGCGUUGUUCGUGAAAACCGGGGGCUUAACCCUCGGCGUGCGGGCGAUACGGGCAGACUUGAGUACUGCAGGGGAGACUGGAAUUCCUGGUGUAGCGGUGGAAUGCGCAGAUAUCAGGAGGAACACCGGUGGCGAAGGCAGGUCUCUGGGCCACUACUGACGCUGAGAAGCGAAAGCGUGGGGAGCGAACAGG
This 253-nucleotide ribosomal RNA is filed under the name uncultured bacterium. RNAcentral describes it as "partial 16S ribosomal RNA". It matches the Rfam family "Bacterial small subunit ribosomal RNA", at positions 524 to 776 of the family's 1533-position model. The record is from RNAcentral.